Long non-coding RNA from Cucumis sativus (cucumber), 4598 nucleotides. RefSeq lists it as uncharacterized. The record is from RefSeq and is a predicted model, not a curated record. The transcript is spliced from 5 exons. Lineage: Eukaryota; Viridiplantae; Streptophyta; Magnoliopsida; Cucurbitales; Cucurbitaceae.
AUUUACCUUUUCUUUCUUUGUUUUCUUUCUUCUUCGUUUUCUUUGUUCUCUACCCUUACAAACCUUAAAAUUUUCUUUAUGGUGUGGUUUGGUUUUAAUGGAGUAGAUCACACGCACACCACGAAUGAAGAUGAAAGAGAGGAAGAAGGAGACUACAAAAUUUAUGUGGUUCGACCAAAGGAAGUCUACAUCCACGAGAAGGAUCUCUUUCCUUGAUGUUUGAAGAUAAGUACAAUCGUUUUGCUUUCCUUUUUCUUUUUUCUAUAUCUACUUGUAAAAGUGAGUGUAUGUAAAAACUUGAUCAAUUUUUUAAUAUACCUUUAUAUUUAUGGGUGUUUACAAAGACAAGAAAAUUAGCAGAAAACUGAAAACUAAUGUUGUUAGAAUUAAGUUUCUACAAAUCUCCACAUUGAGUCCAACUUGUAAUAGUUUCAGAGGUCCUUCUAACCGUCUGACAUUUUUUCUUCAUCCUUUUUCUGGAGCUUCAACUUUGAAACGGGCUUGGUGAGCAUGUCAGCAGCUUUUUCAAAGGCUGCUCAAGUGCUAGACAACUUGUUGUGUAAAGCUUGGAGGAGAAGAUGCAACGUCUCUUGUGAUGGCAGUUGUACACGUGUAUGAAGUAAAUCAUACGCACCACGAAUGAAGAUGAAGGAGAAGAAGAAGGAGACUACAAGAUUUACGUGGUUGGCCAAAGGAAGUCUACAUCCACGAGAAGGAUCUCUUUCCUCGAUGUUUGAAGAUAAGUACAAUAGUUUUGCUUUUCUUUUUCUUUUAUCUAUAUCUACUUGUAAAAGUGAGUGUAUGUAAAAACUUGAUUAAUUUUUUAAUACAUCUUUAUAUUUAUAGGUAUUACAAGGACAAGAAAAUUAACAAAAAACUGAAAAACUAAUGUUGUUGGAAUUAAGUUUCUACAAAUCUCCACAUUGAAUCCAACUUGUAAUAGUUUUAGAGAUCCUUCUAGGCGUCUAACCUUUUUUUCUAUAUUUGUCUUUCGUUAUUCCCUUUCUGAAUGAGUCACUCAUCAAUGGUUGUCGCUCUGUAAGAUCCUUAGUCAGUUUUUACUCCAAUUAAAGUUCUCUCUUUUCGAGGGGAAGUUAUGUUUUAGUGAGUAGAGUGGAACUACCCAAACUGUCUCAUUCGAUUGGGAUGCGUCGUCUCUUUUGUCUCUAUCACAACAAUCAAAAUGAGACACAACAACCAGACUCAAGGGGAUGAACCACUCCCAAGUCAAUCAUUUGAGAAAACAAGUCAAAAGUCUCCAUUGGAAAAGAGCAAAUUAAGCAACUUUCUAUAGGCUAGAAUUAGGGUUAAAUAGUAACUUUUAUGCUUAUGACAUAAGAGCCAAAUUUCGUUGAUUUGGAAGGUUGUGGUUAAUUUCAUUUAAGCACCAAUAAAGGAUCCUUUGAUACAAUUCUUUCAAGAUAAGGGUAGCAAAGAUUUUUCAUCGUAAAAACAUGUUUUCAAUUAUCACUUAAUUAUCUGUCAAAUAGCUUGAAGACUUAAUUAAUGUUGUGAAACGUGGUCCAUGGUUAAAAAACAAAGACCUAUUAACUAAUAUAGCCUAAAUAUAGAUUUGUAUUUACAAGUUGGACCAAAUAUUACAAUAUUUUUCACAAAAGUCCUAAUAGGCUACAAAUUGACAUAAAUAUUGAACUCGAAUGCCAAAACUUCCCAUCUCUAAAGAAAAUAAGAAAAGUAAACAAACACACAUAUAAGAAAUUUACACAAAUAUUGAACGGUUUUAUUUUCAAAUUUGAUCGAAAACUUUUCUUCUUCAAGCAACUUCCAAAAACUAGUCUUAUUUCUUCGAAAAGCAACCGACAAACUAUCUUGUUCCGUCUUUUGUGUAAGAAAACUUGGGUUUUGGCGAAGAGGAGGCUUAGGUAAGAAAAGUUUCGACUGUUGCACACCGUUUUGGUAAGUAAUGUUUGAUUAUAUUAAGUACUUGUUAGGGUAUAUUCUGUAUAUUUCAAUUAGUGUGUGCAGAAAGUAGGGUUUCGUCGAAAUUCUUCAAAAAUUAGGGUUUAUUCUUGGAAGCUUUCUUUCAUUCAAAAUUCUUCACAAAAUUCAAUUAGUGUGUGCAAAAAUUAGGGUUUCGUCGCAAGCAGCCGAGUGCAAAAUUCAUAUUUCGGUCGUCGAAUACUGUUUUAAUAACUGUAUAUUCUGUAUAUUUCACAAAAAUUAUUGUAAAACUGCUUUCUAACUUCAGUUGGUGUGUGCAGAAAUUAGGGUUUCAUCUCAAGCAAACGAGAAUAAAUUUCAUAUUUCGACCGUCGAAUACGUUUUAGUAAGAAAUGUGUGAUGUGCACUAAAAUAGUUAGGGUAUAUUGAAUAUAUUAAAGUAUAUUAUGUAUUUUAAAUAAUCAUUUUGAUGGAGUUGAUGUGACUUAAUUACAAUAGAGGCAGCUUUUGGUGCUGACAUGCUUAAAAGAUUAGAUUUUUCGCUUAAAUCUGCCUAUAAAAAGGAACUUCAUCCUUACAAAGAAGGAAGCAACAUGUGAAUGGAUCGUCAUCCAUACACCUGAAGAGGUGGGUAGAGUCCUAGAGAGUUGGUGGCAAGGAAUAGACUUUCCACCUUCUAUAAAGCACUUCUCCAUCUACUUCGAUCGAUGUGUAGAGUGAAAGCUUGUAGUCUGAGAGAAGAAGAUCUCAUCCUUCAUCUCCCCGUAACUUAUAAUUUCAUCUCUAUUCUUUUCCGUUUUUGUAUUUCUUUACAUUGUAUUUGUUCAUAUUGUAUAGUGGUCGAAGACCUACAUUCUUUAAUACAAUGUAUUCUUACACCUUUUUUAUCCAUCCAUGUCUUUACUGUUCACCUGUCCUUAUGUUAUUUGUGGUUUAGGAUCUAUAAUAGAUUCUUGAUAGGAAGCUCUGCUUAUAAUUCUUAUUGUGUUAAUUGAGCUAUUUUAUCAUCACUUGACCAGUGUAUAUCACUAACUACCAUAGAAGGUAAGUAACAAGGAUAUGGUUAACAUGAACAAGGAGGAGUUUGGAGAAAACCUCCACUUUGGCGAGAUAACUUCCAUUAUUUGUGUCCCGAUAAGAGAACAAGUGUGGGCAUUAGGCGUCAAAAGGUUAUUGACCUUAAACGUGAAGCUCAUAACUCUUAUAAGUAAACUCUUCUUGAUAUACCUUGUUUAGAUUGGCUUAGUCAUUUAAAUCCUAAAAGGAGACAAAGUUUGGCAUUUAAAGACUCUGAUAGGAGCUCACCUUAAUCAUAAGCUAGUUAAGUAAGUCAUUUGCAUCAAGGCUUUCAUCUAUCUUAUUUGCCUGGUAGCACUAGACAUUCCUUUACCGCCCCUUCCUUAAUACAAGUUAGUUCAUUCUUACACUCCUUUCUCACGACCACCUUCAUUAAAUUAUCUUUACAACGUUCUCUAGUUUACAUAGUAGAUAUAGGUUAAAUUUACGCCCUUCCAUUAUGUAUAGUUACUCUUUUAUACCGCCUAAUGGAUAAGUAGACUCUAAAACUAAGCUUUGAUAUCAAUUUUCUGUGUUCGCUCUUAGAUCAUCCAGGAAAACCUAUUGUUUUGGCUACACUUGGAUAAGUAGUAGAAAAACUGGUACGCAACGAGGAGUUAUAAGUACAUGAUGAAGAGUUCUUUACCGAGCAUUUUGUAUGCAUGAUCUUGAUCAAUGACGCAUCAUGUAGAAUGAGACAUCAACAUAGGCAACAACACUAUUUUCGAAGUCUCUAAAUCUUUGUUGUUUAGAAGUAGAUGUGCAUGUGCGGCAUUACAUUUUACCUCCUCUCUAAGUUCGUGGAGUUAACCAACCAACUGUUUAGUGGGAUUGACUUCACAACAGUAGUAACAUAUCAAACAACAAGCAAGUUUCCUCUAUGUUUCAUCAGAUAUGCUAUGUUAUAUUUCUGAUAUGCAAUGUUAGUGUUAACAAUUCUGGGAUUAUAUUUAUGUAUUCUUGAUUUUAAAGUUCAUGUGCUUAUAUACCAAAAAAUAGUUGCGAUGUUGGUACUAUACAUUAGGCAUCGGUUAUUUAAUGAUAAGGAUAUGUUUAUAUGCAGUUGCAGGUAUGGUUCUUAGAAGCGAAAGAGUACUUGGAUCAAGUUCUAGGCCAAGAAAGUCAAACAAAGAUGAUCCUAUUUUGAUAGAUGAUGCAGAGGUGAAAUAUAUAGGAUGAACAUGAUAUAAAGGAAGAGUAUUACAACUCAAAUUUUGAAGAGGCGUAUAAUGACUGCCCCAAUAACUACUCUUCUCUAGCCGUCGUGUUUCUAGGAGAUGAAGAUUAUAACAAAACAAAUCCACAUGGAACACAAAUCGUACUUUACAAAGACAAAAAUGAGCAUAAGACGCAGAGGAGAAAGAGCUUGCAAUGCUACGAACUCAAUUAUACUGUCCUCCAAAGUUACCUGAAUGUUUAUUAAACAGAACGAACAACAUUUGAAACAUGUUCGGUUAAAAGAGCUAUGGAGUUAGCUAAAAUGUCAUAAUUGAGAUGCUCUUCGUUAUGUUGAAUGUUUUCAUCACUCACAAAGUGCAAGGCCACUUUCUUAUCUCUUUUACUAUCAUUGCCGCCUGGGGUAAGUUCAAAUGUUCUUAAAGAAUCGAACAGUUCAUCCAAUUUCAAAAAAGCAAUAUUAU